Molecule: long non-coding RNA, 1467 nt
Filed under: Parus major (Great Tit)
Lineage: Eukaryota; Metazoa; Chordata; Aves; Passeriformes; Paridae
Description: lncRNA (ENSPMJG00000004325.1)
Source: RNAcentral
GUUCUAGAUUCACAUUUUAUAUUUAUAUAUUUACAUCGAAAUUUAAAUUUUCUAUUAAAUUGCAUUCUAAUGAUUAGAAAUUAAUUAUAAAUUAUUAAUUAUUAUAAAUUAUUAUUCCAUACAAUUUAUUAAUUACUUCUAGAAUCACAUUUUUUAUUUACAUAUAAAUUUAAAUUUUCUAUUUAAUUUCAUUCUUAAUUGGGGUUUUUAACGGGAAAAUAUUUGGGAUCAUUCUGGGAUUUCCUUCCUGGAUUUUGGGGAUAAAAUCCCAGAUUUUGGGGGUAAAAUCCCGGAUUUUGGGGGUAAAAUCCCGGAUUUUGGGGGUAAAAUCCCGGAUUUUGGGAUAAAAUCCCGGAUUUUGGGGAUAAUUUUGGAAUUUUUGUUCUGGAUUUUGGGGAUAAUUUUGGGAAUUUUCCUGCUGGAUUUUGGGGAUAAUUUUGGGAAUUUCCCUGCUGGAUUUUGGGGAUAAUUUUGGGUUUUCCUGCUGGAUUUUAGGGAUAAUCCUGGAAGAGUUGGAUGGGGAGAAGGGAAUUCCUGCAGCCCCGGCCCCAUUUGGGGUUCAGGCCCCAUUUGGGGUUUGGGGUUCAGUUUUUCCCCAUUUGGGGUUUUUGGGUUCAGUUUUUCCCCAUUUGGGAUUUUUGGGUUCAGUUUUUCCCCAUUUGGGGUUUUUGGGGGUUCAGUUUUUCCCCAUUUGGGGUUCUCCAAGUCCCGCAGAUUCCCGUAGCUCGAUCCCGAGGAUUUCCGGGGAAAUCAUUAACCGGGAACGGGAUCGGCCGGGACCUUCGGACCCCGCGCCCGGACACACCCGGACACACCCGGGAACGAGAACGGGAUCGGCUGGGAACGGGAUCAUCCCAUGGGAACGGGAUCAUCCAUGGGAACGGGAUCAUCCCAUGGGAACGGGAUCAGCUGGGAACGGGAUCAUCCCAUGGGAACGGGAUCAUCCAUGGGAACGGGAUCAGCUGGGAACGGGAUCAUCCCAUGGGAACGGGAUCAUCCAUGGGAACGGGAUCAUCCAUGGGAACGGGAUCGGCUGGGAACGGGAUCAUCCCAUGGGAACGGGAUCAUCCAUGGGAACGGGAUCAGCUGGGAACGGGAUCAUCCCAUGGGAACGGGAUCAUCCAUGGGAACGGGAUCAGCUGGGAACGGGAUCAUCCUGAGGGAAUGGGAUCAUCCUAUGGGAACGGGAUCAUCCUAUGGGAACGGGAUCAUCCCAUGGGAACGGGAUCAUCCAUGGGAAUGGGAUCAUCCCAAGGGAACGGAAUCAUCCUGGGGGAAUGGGAUCAUCCCAUGGGAACGGGAUCAUCCAUGGGAAUGGGAUCAUCCCAUGGGAAUGGGAUCAUCCAUGGGAUUUGGGAUUGGGGUGGGAUUGGGAAACCCUGGGAUCCCAUCCCAAGGAAUUCCGGGAUCCAGGAGGCUCAGGAUCCAUCCCGAGGGAUUUUUAUGGAAUUUGGGAAAGGAAAUCCA